AUACGGGGGGUGCAAGCGUUAAUCGGAAUUACUGGGCGUAAAGCGCGCGUAGGCGGUUUGCUCAGUCGGAUGUGAAAGCCCAGGGCUCAACCUUGGAACUGCAUACGAUACUGGCAAACUAGAGUGUGAGAGAGGAUAGUGGAAUUUCCGGUGUAGCGGUGAAAUGCGUAGAUAUCGGAAGGAACAUCAGUGGCGAAGGCGACUGUCUGGCUCAACACUGACGCUGAGGUGCGAAAGCGUGGGUAGCAAACAGGAUUAGAAACCCCUUGUAGUCC
RNAcentral lists this ribosomal RNA (275 nucleotides) under uncultured bacterium. RNAcentral's name for it is "partial 16S ribosomal RNA". It matches the Rfam family "Bacterial small subunit ribosomal RNA", at positions 523 to 796 of the family's 1533-position model. The record is from RNAcentral.